Molecule: transfer RNA, 71 nt
Filed under: Loxodonta africana (African savanna elephant)
Lineage: Eukaryota; Metazoa; Chordata; Mammalia; Proboscidea; Elephantidae
Rfam family: tRNA
About the family: Transfer RNA (tRNA) molecules are approximately 80 nucleotides in length. Their secondary structure includes four short double-helical elements and three loops (D, anti-codon, and T loops). Further hydrogen bonds mediate the characteristic L-shaped molecular structure. tRNAs have two regions of fundamental functional importance: the anti-codon, which is responsible for specific mRNA codon recognition, and the 3' end, to which the tRNAs corresponding amino acid is attached (by aminoacyl-tRNA synthetases). tRNAs cope with the degeneracy of the genetic code in two manners: having more than one tRNA (with a specific anti-codon) for a particular amino acid; and 'wobble' base-pairing, i.e. permitting non-standard base-pairing at the 3rd anti-codon position.
Source: Rfam by way of RNAcentral
GCAGUGGUGGUUCAGUGGUAGAAUUCUUGCCUCCCAUGCAGGAGACCCGGAUUCGAAUCCCAGCCAAUGCA